UGUGUCAUUUACAAAGGGAUUUUAAUAUUUAUUUAUGUGUAUGUGUCUCAAUAGUCCUGUGAGGUAAAAAUUAUUAUACCCAUUAUUCAAAAGGCAAAGUGAAAGCAUAGAAGAAUCACCUGUGGAGAUUUACACAACACCGAUGCCCUGGAGCCCCGCCCUGAGAUUCUGGUGAAGUCCAUCUCGGGUGCAGUCUGCCGUCAGCAUUAUAAAAGGCCACCAGCUAGACUACAUUUCCCAGCUUCCCUUGCAGUUAGUUGUGGCCAUGCACUGGCUCUAGUCAGUGGGAUGUGAGCAGAAGUGAAGCCCAUAAAUUCCAUGUGCAAUCUUCUGCAGUCUUCCUGUCUCCUGGGCUGGAAUGGAGAUGACCUUGGAAGCCAUGUAUUGAAGAUAGCAGCUCUGCUGUCAACCUGGCCCCUGAAUGACUAUGGAGGACUUCUCAGUGACCUGUUUAUCUGCCCAGUACUGGCAUCUUCCUUUGAAGUGAAGUGGAGGUCAUCUGACAACUUCUACUGGAUGAAUUGUAUGUGGAAAUGGCAUGCGACUCAUGAACCAGGGAAGUGAAGAGCUGGUGUGCCUCUUCCAUCCCUUUCUCUCCUAACCAUGGCAACCUGGGAAUUCACACGUUGAAAUGGCAGCAUCACCAUACAGAGGAAGCUUGGAUCCCUGAGUCACCAGAUGGAGGCAAGAUCUGGCCAACUUGCAUUGGAGUUCAUUUAAGUGGGAAGUAAACUUACAUUGUGUUAAGCCUUUGAGAUUUUUGUUACUGCAGCAUAGCCAAUCUUAUGCUGACUAAACCUUAUUUCCACAUUCUUGUAAAAAUACAGUCUUCUUUAUGAACUCAUUAUAAAUAUAAUGAAGAUAUCGAGAACUCAGACUCAAAUAUCUGAAGUAUCAGGAUAGGAUAAGUGGAGAAACAUUCUGGUCUGCUUCCUUUAG
This is a long non-coding RNA of Lemur catta (Ring-tailed lemur), 939 nucleotides long. RefSeq lists it as uncharacterized. The transcript has 3 exons. The record is from RefSeq and is a predicted model, not a curated record. Lineage: Eukaryota; Metazoa; Chordata; Mammalia; Primates; Lemuridae.